CCAAUCGGCAGGCUGAACGGGGCGCGCGACUUCCGCCUUUCUUCUCGAGGUGUCUCGCGAGAGGGAAUCGACUUUCCGCGGCGGUUGCGCUGGGCGCUCAGCGUGGCUCCGCCCCGCAGUUCUCUGCGUGUUUUACCCGGGGCGGGGUGUGGGUCGGGGUGGCCUCGGCUUCAGCUCCAGAUUCGGCCGGUUGGGCCCUGCUUCAGGGAUCCAGAAAAGGUCUGCGCGUGGCCUGCAGUGGUUCAGAGCCGGUAACGUGCCGCAUUACACGUGGCCGUAAAAUAGCAGAGGAUAUCCAGACACCAGACUGCUUACUGCUGAUGUACAGAGAUGAAAAUACAAAGUGCACAGAUGUACAUGGUGGCUUCGAGUCAAACCCAGCCUCUCACUGUAAAGGCAGAAGAUGGCACAGAGUUCUUCAGACAGUUAUCCCAGGAGUAUUUUGUGGACCAAGGAAGUGGAUAUAGCAACAGGAGACUGCCUUUUCUCAGGGUCUGCCAAGUCUUAGCUGCCCAUCUGGGAAUAAAUAGUCUCUGGAGGAGCCCAGGAUCUGCAGAGAAGAAUUCAGCAGGAAGCAGCGGCGGGGCAGUGGCAGGUGGUGCGAACUGAGCACAGGGCACCUGGCUAACGGGGAUCCUGAGAUCCGUUACCUCCCGGUUUUAACGUGAGAGUCAUUUAAUCCCUCUGUAUGGCUGACAUCAAAGGAGCAGAACAGCAGCACAUCCUCUCCCAAGGCAGCAGACCUCUGUCCAUUGUCCAUCGCUUACAAUGACUGUCAGCAUUCUGAAGAGGUGCCUGGCCUGCAGAACAGCACAUCAAGCUCCUCCCGUCCUCAGCCCCAGCACAUCUCGUCCUGUAUCCCCUCACCAGGAGGCAUCCCCACUCGCACUGACUGGCUGGGCACCAGGCCGAACAGAACUGAAUCCAUCACACACAGCUCCUACCAGCAGUGCCACCACUCUGGGUUUCUGCACUCUCAGAGUGGACGUGGUGGAUCAUCUCCCCCGACCUGCUGGCCAUUCUUUUUAAUGAGCCCCGAUGGCCUUCUUAGCCACAAGGGCACACUGCUGGCUCAUGCUGCUGGUAUCCCAGGAAAAAAGCAUAGCUCCAUGAAACCCAACGGGGACAAUGACAGGAAUACCUUUAACCACGAUCCACAAGCGAAAUGCGCGUCCAUUGCCACGACGUGCACCACUGGGAAGGGUGGAAGUACUCUGCCAGGAAGACACAACUAAGAAAGAACGGCUUGGACAGCGGUCAGGUCAUGUCAGCAGUAAGUGCCAAACCUGAGACAGAUGAAGCUCUUUGCAGUGUGGAUGUGACUACUGCACUCUAGAGAAAGGCAGCCCUGGGCUGAGCAGACACUGAUUCACAUUCGAGUGCUGAAGAAGCUGGAGUUCCUUGGAGUGCAUCAUAAUUUCUGUGUGUAUAUAGUACCUCCUAUCCCAACAAAAAGGCACACAAAAAUUAUAAAGAAAGGUAAG
RNA transcript from Lagopus leucura (white-tailed ptarmigan), 1484 nucleotides. RefSeq lists it as uncharacterized. The record is from RefSeq and is a predicted model, not a curated record. The transcript is spliced from 8 exons. NCBI's taxonomy places the organism in Eukaryota, Metazoa, Chordata, Aves, Galliformes, Phasianidae.